This 492-nucleotide ribosomal RNA is filed under the name uncultured bacterium. RNAcentral describes it as "partial 16S ribosomal RNA". It matches the Rfam family "Bacterial small subunit ribosomal RNA", at positions 29 to 507 of the family's 1533-position model. The record is from RNAcentral.
AGUGGACGCUGGCGGUAGGCCUAACACAUGCAAGUCGAACGGCAGCACAGUAAGAGCUUGCUCUUACGGGUGGCGAGUGGCGGACGGGUGAGGAAUACAUCGGAAUCUACUUUUUCGUGGGGGAUAACGUAGGGAAACUUACGCUAAUACCGCAUACGACCUACGGGUGAAAGCAGGGGAUCUUCGGACCUUGCGCGAUUGAAUGGGCCGAUGUCGGAUUAGCUAGUUGGCGGGGUAAAGGCCCACCAAGGCGACGAUCCGUAGCUGGUCUGAGAGGAUGAUCGGCACCACGGGAACGGAGAAAGGGUCCAGACUCCUACGGGAGGAGGCAGUGGGGAAUAUUGGACAAGGGGCGAAAGCCUGACCCAGCCAUCCCGGGGGGGGGAAGAAGGCCUUCGGGUUGAAAAGCCUUUUUGUGGGAAAAAAAAAGCAGCAGUUUAAUCCCCCGCUGUUCUGACGGUACCAAAAAAAAAAGCCCCGGCUAACUUCGGG